UACGUAGGGUGCAAGCGUUGUUCGGAAUUAUUGGGCGUAAAGAGCUCGUAGGCGGUUUGUCGCGUCUGCUGUGAAAACUCGGGGCUUAACCCUGGGCCUGCAGUGGGUACGGGCAGACUAGAGUGCGGUAGGGGAGACUGGAAUUCCUGGUGUAGCGGUGAAAUGCGCAGAUAUCAGGAGGAACACCGGUGGCGAAGGCGGGUCUCUGGGCCGUAACUGACGCUGAGGAGCGAAAGCGUGGGGAGCGAACAGG
RNAcentral lists this ribosomal RNA (253 nucleotides) under uncultured bacterium. RNAcentral describes it as "partial 16S ribosomal RNA". It matches the Rfam family "Bacterial small subunit ribosomal RNA", at positions 524 to 776 of the family's 1533-position model. The record is from RNAcentral.